UACGAGUGCCCCAAGCGUUAUCCGGAAUCAUUGGGCGUAAAGGGUGUGUAGGUGGUCAUGUUAGUCUUCUGUUAAAUUCUUCGGCUUAACCGGGGGCAUGCAGGGGAAACGGCAUGACUAGAGGAUGCGAGAGGUGUGUGGAACUCUAAGUGUAGGGGUGAAAUCCGUUGAUAUUUAGGGGAACACCAAAAGCGAAGGCAGCACACUGGCGCAUUCCUGACACUGAGACACUAAAGCGUGGGUAGCGAAUGGG
This 253-nucleotide unclassified non-coding RNA is filed under the name uncultured Parcubacteria group bacterium. RNAcentral's name for it is "contains 16S-23S intergenic spacer region". It matches the Rfam family "Bacterial small subunit ribosomal RNA", at positions 524 to 776 of the family's 1533-position model. The record is from RNAcentral.